RNAcentral lists this long non-coding RNA (15512 nucleotides) under Nicotiana tabacum (common tobacco). Its description in RNAcentral is "long non-coding RNA (NTAB_LNC005532)". The record is from RNAcentral. Lineage: Eukaryota; Viridiplantae; Streptophyta; Magnoliopsida; Solanales; Solanaceae.
UGUCGAGGGUUCGAAUCCCUCCUCGCCCACAACCGGCCCAAAAGGGAAGUACCUUUCCCUCUGGGGGUAGGAAAAUCAUGAUCGGGAUAGCAAACCAAAAGCUAUGGAACUUGGGUGUGGGUCUUAUGUCGAAAUGGAAUGACUUUUCUUUUUCUCUUUUUAUUUAUUAUUUAUCGUGAAUGGGGGAAUCAUUACACAUAGUAUGCCCCAUUAACGUAUUUUUUUUUUGUUUUAUGCUCCGUAACUCUUCCUCAGUCAGGCUUGGGUAGAAUAGCAGAGCAAGUAUUGGUAGCAUAACAAAAAAGCCUUCCUCGUCAUUAAUAUCUUUGCUCGCGGCAAUUGUGACCUCUCAGGAGAAUCGGUGACUGCAUCUUUGAUGCAGUGCUAGUACAUCUGAGACUUCUUAAUUGGCUAGUUAUAAAUAGCCCCAGAGUUAUGGAACAAAGGAUUAUCUCGUACCUAGACAGAGGUAUUGAUGGUGAUUUUCUAAUCUCGCAGAACAGAAUGUGAUACGAUGAGAUAGAAUGCAAUAGAAACAAAGAUAAGGAACGAGUUACCUACUCUUAACGGGCAAAGCGAGCCCCUUUAUUUUGAAUUCUUUAAUUCAGAAUCAAUCAAAUCUCCCCAAGUAGGAUUCGAACCUACGACCAAUCGGUUAACAACCGACCGCUCUACCACUGAGCUACUGAGGAUUAGGAGAUUCGAUCUCAUAGAGUUCAAUUCCCGUUCCCAACCCAUGAGCAAUAUGAGUUCGAAGCUUCCUUCGUAACUUCCAGAACUUCUUCGUAGUGGCUCCCUUACAUGUCUCAUUUUAGAGGGAACCUCAAAGUGGCUCUAUUUCAUUAGACUUCUCACCUUCUUCAAACAAUAUAUAUUUAACAAAUUUAUAUAAGUAAUUAUCGGUCGAUUAUUCAAUAUUCUUGUGCAGAUGAAGAAGACUCAUGUGGAGCGUGUGAUUGAGACUUAGUACCGAUUAGGAUGGGAUUUUAAAGACAAUUUUUUUUUCGAAUUUUGUUUUUCAACUAUAUUGUUUCUGUUUAUGUUGUAAAGAUUUUAAUUACAUGUUUGUACAUAUCAUAUGUUCAAGUUAAUACUUCUGUGCCAGAACCAUAUUCAUUAGGAAACAAAUAGAGAUUUCUUUGCCAAAUUAGCUAUUGUACGUUUUGAUUUAAUUUUUCAUAAAUAUGUACCACGGUUUUCAAGUAUAUGGAAUUAUAGAGUCUACUAGUAUUAGACAUAGUUACAAAACUACAAAGACAUGCUUCAAAAUCCAAAACUUGUAGGAAAAAAUGUUUAGAGUUUGAAGUUAUACUAAUAGAAUUUUCUAAUAUAAAUCCCACUUGUACAAACACACUGCAGAGCUGAAUGAUUGAUACAUAUUUCUAAUUCCGAUUUCAAGUCGUUCUCUUGGAAUAAAUAAAUUAUUCCGUCAAAUAAUAAAUGAGUAAAUAAUUUGAGUUGGGGCUAUGGGGACUUCUGUGGAACAAAACAAAAUUGGUUAUUGAGUUUGCUAAAUAGAAUCAAUAUUCAUCAUUUCAAAACACUUAAAUUACUUUUUAAACUUUUAUUUUAUAACUCAAUAUAUAAUUUUUAGUAAUAUUUAUGAUUUUUAAAAAUCUAUUACUCAUCGACAUAGGGUACACGCGCAAUGCACAUAAUCUAUAUUUAUACUAUAUUAAAAGCACGAAAGCCUUUAACGAAAUGUCGUUCGUCUUUUUUCCCUUUAAAAAUAGCUGUAAGAUUGGACAGAGUUGUAAGCUUAUAAUUUAAUUAAUUUACUACUAAAAUUUUGGACUAAUUUGAAAUCAACUAAAAUUUAGGUUAUUAAAUAUUUUUAUUAUUUGAACUAUGUACAAACUCCUAAUAUUUAGGAUAAUAGGUUAAAUUAACUAUAAUAUAUACCGUUCCUUUUAAUUUGUAUACACCUUAACGUUAAAUACUUCUUUAAUUUCGGUACAAAAUAUCAAUUUAUACUUGAAACUGAAUAACGAUUUCGUUAUGAGAUUACAUCUCUAUGAUGACUCCAGUGUAAUAUUACCUGCGGUUGAAAUCUAUUAAUCAUAUUCACCAACCUUUGUUCAAAAAUGAGUUCAAAACUAAUAAUUUUAAAGAUAUAACUUUAAAUAAAAAUUAUUUGCAAACUUCUAAGUAAUAUUAAAGCUAUUUCGAUUUUAUACGUGAAUAUAAAAAUAAUAAAAUAAACGUAAGGUUAAAAUUAGAAGAAGCCACUUAUAACUAUGUUUUAUGUAAGCAGAAAAUUAAAACAAGAAAAGAAAAAAAAUAAAAAAAAAUUCUUUUAGGAAAAUAAGCAAGCAAAGUAUCUAUGUAAAAUUUUCCUCAAAAUUGUUUUUUCACAAUAUAGACAAUUAAAUAUACUGUUUUGAAUAAAAUUGGAGUUACUUUUAAAAAGUUUCAAUUUAAAUGAGAAGUGAAUAUAGAUAUUUUUUUUAUAAUAUAGAAAAUUUAAUAUUUUUUGGAAUUAAAUCAAUGUUACAUUUAAAACGUUUCAAUUCAAAAUUAAAUGUGAACCGAUUAUGGGCACACAAAAAUUAAAACACUACAUUUGUGAUAAUUGAUAAAAAGUAAAUUCUACCGGAAAAAAAUAAAAAUAAAAAGUAAAUUCUAAAUCUGAUAUUCACAUGCAUGAAUCUAUAUUUUCACUCAUAUUCUAUGAUUGAAUUCUAAAUCUGUUUUUAUCAUGCAUAAACUCUUCUAUAAAAAGACAACAUUUGGAUGCAUAAUUAUGUCCUUGGAUAGAGAAUGAAAGUCCUCUAAAAAAUAAAAAGCUUAAAUUAAUCGAAAUUUAGUCAUUUUUACUUUUGCAAUAAAAAUUUAUUCUUUUUAAUUUAUUGGAAACAAUUCCCAUAGUAUUUGUCAUUGAUCAAUAAAUAGAGUAAUUUGUAUUUUGCUUGAGACCAAAAAAUAGACACCGUUUUUCAUUUUUUCAGAUCUUGUUUGUAUUUUUUUGCAAUUAAACUUAAAACAUUAGUUUACCAAAAAAAAAAAAAAUUCUUGUUGAAACUAAAAAAGAUGUAUGGUAAUUUGUAAACUUGAAGUAAUCGGAUUAUAAAACUGGAAUAAAUUUUAAGUCGAACAUAGUGAUUGAGAUGAUUGAAAACUUCUGCGAACCGAGUUUCUUCCUUGGCUUAGUUAAAUAAGAACAACAAUCAUCAUUUUCAGGAACUUAUAAUUUUUUCAACUUUUAUUUUAUUAAAACUCGAAUACAAUAUUUGAUAUUAUAUUUAUGCAUUUGCUUAACAAAAUUUAUAUUUAUUGAGACUGGUAUUGUUAAAUUUCCAUAGUGCCUUCAAAAAAAUAAAAACAGGGUGUCAGUUAGCUCUAUAUUUGAGUUCCCUAUCUUCAGUGAGAGCUGUACAACGUAUUUGGACUUUCAUCAAAUAGGAGGAUACAUGUUCUAGCCGUAGAGGGUUUGAUCAAGUUCAUCGAGCUACAAAGUACAAACUUUGAUUCUCUGCUCUAUGGCAUUUGAAUUAAAUUGGAGAUCUGGAUUCAAUAAUAUGAACUUUGUUCAACAUUUCUUCUUGAAAAGUCAAAUAGCAGGAGUAGGCACUUAAAAAAACACAGUGCUGCUCUUUUUUCCUUUUUUCUUUUGAGUGGGAGGGGGGAAGGGAGGAGAGGAUAGGGGAAUGGGGAGGAUUUCAGCUGGAGGGAGAAGAAAAACCUCGUGACGACAGAACAAAAUCGCUUUUCUAUGUCAUAAGACUCACAACAGGCAUUUGCUUGGCUCUGGAAUGGAGAUUCCUUUAGUCUGCAUUUGUUUGUACAUCCAUUGCCAGUUUUCAGGUGUUACCUCACCCCCAAGAGAUCGAAUCACAGACCCACCGCAGCAAGAACCAACCCGGCAACAUUCCUCCAGUGGUAGCGCUCGUACCAAUCCAUACAAAAACCCACUUGCAAAGAGAUCUCCUGCACCUGUAGCAUCUGUUACUUUUGUCUCGCCAAUUGCUGGAACACGGACUAACUGUAAACCAAAAUAAAACCUCAUCUUUAUUAACCAAACAAACACCAAGUUACUAGUACAGCGACAAUAUGCUGUUAAGUUUGCUAGCAAACCUACUCUAAGAAUGACAAAAAAUCACUAAGUUGGAGCAUUUGAAAAAAAAAAGGAUUUCACCAUCUUCCGGUGACAUGCACAUACAGAAAAAAAAGGUCCUUUUCUAAGCAUUUUGCUUUAAAGAUGAGCUGCUAGUGAGAAGGAUAAGAGAUACCUCUUUCCCAUGUUUUGCCAUGCACCCAUUUUGGGCUAAGGUUACAACAGCCCACUUGCAAUGUUUAGCUAGAAAUUCAAGUGCUGCCUCAGGAUCUGCAUUGUCUUCACCUCUGCACCAAAUGUUGAAAAGACAUGGAGCUUCAUUUGCAUGAACGUUAUAUUUCAAUAAUAUAAUAUCUCAGUUUCAAUCCAAGGACAGGUAAUCACCUUAGCAGCUCAGUUGCUUCAUCCUCAUUUGCAAAGCAAAGGUCUAUGUUUCCUGACUCCAGUAAUUCAAUUAGAGGUAAUUUAAACUUCCUCACCAUCUGCCAUAUAUUAUGAAUAUCAGGGAGGCACCAAAAUCAAAAAUAAAAAAGAUCACAAAUCCUUUUACUGAUAACAGAAUAGGAGUUUUCAACAGAAACGAAGUAAUAUGAGUUCCAUUCAAACAUGAGUUAUUUUUAAGCGUCUCCAAUUGUUAUCUCAUGAAAUUUGUUUUCUACAGACAGCUCAAAUGUAGAGUACGAAAUAAAAUCUCCGUAUCAUUUGAGAAGACAGAUAAUCUUUCCCCUUCAAAAACUCAAAGCAAAUAAUGAAAUGCCAAGCUUUUGAUAACACCAAGUAGCCUAUGUGAACAAAAUUACCUCAAAGCUGGCUAGAUCUAGCGAAACAAAAAGGCCUUCUUCCUUUGCGAUUUUGAUGGCUGCCUUAAUAACUUCUAUAUUCAGUAUGGCAUAUCUCAGCACCAACCACUGUUACAAAAUAAAGGCAAAUAAGUAAGAAAUACUGACUGCUACCAAUUUCCCAGAGUUGUCCUCCAGCAAGUAAUAACAGGAAAAACAAGUUUGUGGCAGAUACUAAACAGAUUUCAUAAAUGGAUACGAGAACUCAAAUUACUGGGUACAAAUACAAUAUCGUAAUAACUAAUUUAUAUAAAAUGAUGGAGACAAGAAGUUCAAGAAGCGAACAAGAGUUUAAAAUGUCAAAUAAGGGAAUCCUCACCUUGGAACCUUUGAAGUCUUCUCUUUUCAGUUCAUCUGCCUGAUAAGCAAGGAAAUAAAAAGAUAUGCUUAAGAUCACUUUGCCUAAUAUUUUACAUGUCAUUAGAAUCAUUAGUCACCACUAAAUUUGACGAGAUAAAAGUGGGAGGCACCUGAACUUUCACAGAGCUAGACAGACAGGGACGCAUUGUACGAUUGCCAAUUUCAUCAACAAGACAAACACACUGUACAUCAGAAAUACACAGUUUUGAAUACCCGGGAAUUAUCUAUGUACAGAAUCCUAAUAUCCAACAAAUGUGUUCACCUGCGCUGUUGUUCCAUUCUUUAAUCUCAAUCUUGAGAUAUCCACUUUGUAAAAGCCCAUGUUGCUCAUGAAUAAUUUACCUUCUUCAUCAUCACCACAAGCCCCAAUGAUCCCACAACUAAUCCCAAAGCCAGCAGCCAACCCUCUAAUUGUAUUUGCAACACUGCCCCCAGCUAUGGUCUUCAAUGGAGAUUCAUCGUCAGUAGAAGGAAGGAUAUGGGCAUUAAGCUCGUUGAGUAUAUGCUUCAACUCCUCAACUGCAACCUUCAGUUAACAAAGGGAAAAAAAUGAAAAAAGAAGCAAAACUCUUAGAACUAGUUAAUCAGACUCCUCUUUAAAACAAUUAGGGACAUUCCUAGCAAACAUAAUAUUUCACGGCCUGUAGUUUCAGACACAUUUUAGGUAACUAUUAUGCCUCACUUAGUUAGUUGUUAUUAAGGGUAAGAUAAGCCAACCAACUACUCCUCAACUGUCUGCUAUAAGAAUCUUCUGUAUCAAAUAAGUUCACAUUCAAACAAAUUCAGUAUUCAGAGAUCAUGGUUUAGAUUAUUUUUAUACUGACGUUAACUACCAGCCUCAUCCUUUAUCCAAACUUGGAACUGUUUGCAAAUAAGAAGAGUUAACAGUAAACUAUGCAACAACAUAAUUUUUUAACAAAUGAAACCCACAUGGAUUAGAGAAAAGGGAGAGUUUUCAACCAAAUGGAAAAUUCAUUUUUUCAACUCUCUGUCAGUCCAAUCCUGAAUGCCAUAUAACCCUGUUUUCAGUCUCAGAUUGACUGUAGAAGUAAAAUCCGGAAAGGUUACUUAAUCAGCAACAACUUAUAAUGUUGAAUUCUAGAAUCACAUAUGAAAGAUAUAAACUUUAUGAUAUAUGAACAACCGAGAUCAUAUCACUUAGAAGAGUUCGGAUUCUGCGAUACAUCAAAACCUCAUCGGAAAAAGGUUAGACUCUUGUUUGUCUCAUACUGUUUUUACCUGUCUUGUUACUCACUGAUUUUGUUAUAGCAAUAUAUCACUCUAAAUUUGAUUUCGAAUAUCGUCCCCAUGCAAAUCCCAAUUGAAUUCUAAAAAACUAGAUAGCUUCAAUCAACAACAAUCAAAUACAGCUGCCAGAUUCCCUGUCCCACCCCCAUCUAAAAAAGGACAAUCAAACACACACAUACACACAGUGCUAGCUGAAAAUUUUAAGAUUUCUUAGUUAGAGUGACGGUGGAUUUAAAGAUCCAAUUUUGCAGAAAUUGGCAAUAAACAAUCUCUUAUUAUGAAGUCAUAGAAUACCCAAAAGUAGAAAUCACAAGCAAUUAAGAAUGAUUUGGGAAUCAAAAACAGGAAAAAUUGAGAAUAAUUAAAAAAAAAAAACGAGAAGACAGAGAGAAAGGAGAAGUACAGGGAAGGAACCACCACGUUCGCCGGGAAUUUGGGAGAGAAGAGACCAAUCAACCUUAGCUAUAUGGUCAACUAGCGCAAAAGGUUGGAGUCCAACUACAACCGGUGCACUACCAAUUUCACUAUCACUGUUGGCGGGACGAAUUUCAAUUCCCAUAAUUCCCUUUUCUAAAUUUGAGGAAAUUAAGUUUGAUUUCCCCCAAAUGGGAUAUGUUCCUUCCCAACCUUCCCCUGUGUUAGCUUUUUCUCUCUCUAUCCAAUUUAUAGCCGCUCUCUGCUUACUGCAUACUGUCCACUGCUGAGUCCACUUGUUUUUUAUUUUCUUUCCCUUAAUUAUUUCCGUAAAUAAAAAUAAGUUUUUGUCCCAAAAUUAUGGUGAAAAUACCACGGGCUAGCCAAUUUUUGGACGGUUAAUUGAAAAAUAGCCGACGUUUGCAAAGUCAUUAAAAAAUAGUCACUAUUUUACUGCAACACAGAGAGUUCCAGCAUAAUAUACUGGAGAUUGGAGCACAUGUGAAUGAACUUCCAGCAUAAUAUAAUGAGAUUGAAGCACCUCUGUUUGAAUUUCCAACAUAUUAUGCUGGAACUCCAGUAUAUUAUGCUGGAACUUUAAUAUAUUAUGCUGGAAGUUCACAUGUAAAAAUUAGAACUCUAGUAUAUUAUGAUGGAAUAUUUUAAAGGUGACUCAAUUUUUCUUUGAGGAAUUUUCAUAAAACACUAUAAUUUAGAUCCUAGUAACUAUUGUUUGCCUAAUUACUAUUCGUAGCUUUCGCUCAGCUGUUAUCAACGUGUAUCAUUUGUAUUCAAAUGCGCAGCGAAUACAACUUGUGUGGUUAUAAAGAUGAAAAAUAGGCAUCCUUUUUCACGUUUGGGCACCGUGAAGUUGCAAGGUUGAACCAGUGAACCAGCAAAUAUACGAUGAAAGCUUGAAAAUGUCAUUUACCCAGCAAAAAAACGAAGAAUUUCGCUUGGACAACGUUAGAAGACAAAUUGGCUAGGGAGAAUCAUUUACGUACCUGUUGGGUUUUUUAAGCUUAAAUGUAGCUUAAAAGAGGGUGAAUGGGAAAUGGAGGAAAAUUGAAAAUAUUUGAGUUUCCCUCCUUGACAAAGGGAUAUUGUCCCAUAUUGGAAGAGGAAGAGAUUUUGAUGGGUAUAUAUACAAUUGUACUUCUUCUGGCUCUUAAAGAGUUAAGAAGAAGGCAAGCCUAGCGCCGUCGUCGUCGCUUGCUCGGCUACGGCUACGGCUACGGCUACGGAUUCGGUCAAAUGAUUGAUUGAUUAAUAUUUUGGACCAAAUUUAUUUGUUAAUAGUAAAUAUUAGAAGAAUUGUUAUUAAAUAUCCGGUUUGCACCUCUUCAGAAGAACAAUUUAUACCUCUUUAAAUCUGAAGAGUUGAAGAACAGUUUGCACCUCUUCAGAUUUGAAGAAACAGUUGGCACUUCUUCGGAUUUGAAGAGUUGCACCUCUUCAGAUUGAGCUCAACAUUGGCUAUAAAUACCAGUCUAUUCUCUCAGAUUUUUCAUACGAAUUUCUGACUUCUCCUCCUUUCUUCUGCAUUAUUUUAACUACAAACAAAGUAUCAGUAAGUGUGAUUUGCUACCGAUUUUCUGUUCGCUGAAACAUUGGUGUUUGAAGUAUCGCUACACCAGUGUGUAAUUCGUUCUAUCCUGGGAGGAAAUAAUCCACAACCUUGGGUAUUGGGAGGGGAUUAAUUUCCUUAAGGAAACACUGUGAAUUCAGUGGGCUCGGAUUAAAUUUUGUUUCUUUUACAUUUAUGUUAUUUUAUCUUCUCCAUAAUUAUUUUACAAAUACAGCUAAACAACAAGCUUAAGGAAUUUACUCUUUUCUGUAUUUGUGUUAUAUUCAUUAUUUCUGGAGACUAAAACCUGUGUGAUUUUCUACUCCAGUGGAGAUUAAAAUCUAUGUGAUUUUAACGUUUGUUUGUGUCAUUCUUUUACAGAAAUGACGAACGACAACGGGAACCAGACUGUUCCUAUGGUAACUGCCAACGCAUCGACAAGCCGAACAACACCGGUACUAGCACCGGCAGAAAAAUCCGAAAAUUUUUCCGGGAUUGACUUCAAGCGCUGGCAGCAAAAGAUGUUCUUCUACUUGACGACUUUAAGUUUGCAGAAGUUCAUUACAGAAGAUGUUCCUGUUCUGCCCGACGAAACUCCAGAAAAUGAAUGCUUUCUCGUGACUGAGUCGUGGAAGCAUUCUGAUUUUCUAUACAAGAAUUACAUUCUUAGUGAACUAGAGGACAAUUUUUAUAACGUCUAUAGAGAUUGAUAUUCCUUCUAUACGAAAUUCUUGGAUCAGUAUAGUUGACUUUUGCUAUGUGAAAUUAUACUGUGUGUGUUGUUGUUGUUGUUGUUUAUAGUAACUAAAGUUGGAUCUUGAAAGCUAAUUAGCUAGUAUGAUUUAGAUUACAAACUUGACUCCCACCUGAGAAUUAAAACCAAUAGUGUCCCACAUCAAGGAACUCAUAAAGUAUUUACAAAAAGUAAAAACUUAUUAAUUUGUGAUACAUGGACAAAAUUGUGAGACUCAAAAAGAAAAAUAAAGAAAAAAGUAAAAUCCAAUAAGUGAUAUCAAAAUUAUACUGCAAACAUGAGUUCAAGUUGCAUAAAGAGAUGGAGAUAGAAAGAAAUGAUUCUCAUAUUGAAUAAUUAGGAGUUAACAUCUUUCUAAAUUUCAUUACACAAGUAAUUAGUAUUGUCGUGAUAUUUUGGCCAGUAAUCAUUCUAAAAAAUACUAUUAAUUCAACAGCAAAACCACUCAUACAUUAAUCAUUAUGAAUUUAAAAGAUUACACAGCUCAUUGAUUAGAAACUAAAUAUUAUCAGUCCACAAGAUUUAACAGACUAUAAUUUCUAAAAAGCUCACACUUGUUAUCUUUUUUGUCAAUAUUGCUUUUGGAUUGUGUUUCCUCCCCUCUUUUUGUGAAAUAUCAUAAUUUGGAUGCCAUGUUUAAGUCGUCAACAUUAUAGCCUAUAUUUUAUAUAAGAUAUUAAAUAAUUAAAUCCACAUAUGAGUAUAAUAAAUUUUCUAUGGUUAUCAAAGUGGGUGUGGAGAGAGAAUCAGAGAGUUUAUUUUUUUUCUAAAGUGAAGUAAUGAUGAUAUACUUGUAGUUGUUUGCUUGUAAGAAUGAUACGAAUCACAGUAAAAGUGAUAUAUUUACUCAUUCCCAUCCAGUAUUGGACAGAUUAAAAAAUGUACGUGAAGAUGUACAUAAUUCAACUUUUACUUAAUCCACUCUUAAUUACUUACUUACGUACUAAACAAGGAGAAACGGAAACUUUUUAUCUUUCCAGUAUUUUUUUUUCUUUUCAAAUGACAAUAAUAACAGACAAAUCACGAAUUUUGUACCUCCUAAAUUGUUAUCCACAAAAUUAUCUGGACAAGGAAAAUAUUGUUUGUUCAUGAAUUAUGAUUAGUUUUUGAAAAUUUCAAAAAAGAUUUCAAGUUUCGAAAAAUUGGUUUAGGGCAGUUUUUGAGUGAAAUUUUUUCUUCCACUCAUAAAAUUUUAAAUUUUUUUUUAUAAAUAAAAUACAUAUCUAAACACAACUUCGAAAAUGCUUUUUAAGUUUAGAACAAAUCUGUGUCCAAAUGUAGAUAUUUGGAGGGUUGGUGUUAACUUUUUCUUUCUAGAAAAAGAGCAGAGGUUUGAACUUUGAAGAUACUUUGCUGUUGCUGCUUUGUCUCUUCCCUUAAAUUUCACAUAGCAAUUUUGUUGAAAUAUUGGUGGAUUUUGAUCCUUGUUCAUGACUUUAACUGAAACGUAUCUAAACUCGUGCACUUCCAUCAGAUUUUGUCUACCUUUCAAUAAUGCCUCUAUAUUUGUACAGUCCUUUUUUUUCCCCAUCAAUUCAAAAACUCCCAUUUGAUUGAUAUUUUUGUCCAAAUGGAUAAAUCUGACUUUACACUCACUUUUGAUACUGAGGUUGUCGUCUCUCUCUCUGGCUUUUUCCUGUCUAAUUAUGAAUUGAUUGAAUAUGUCUAAACUCGACCAAGAGGUUUAUUUCCGUUGAUAGAAGAAUAUAAAUAAAGUAACACUUGGUUGAGUUGCGUGUGACAUAUCCUCUCGUCUUUUGCUUUCUGCGCCUAUAUUAGCAGGAGUGGAGGUAUUACGGCCAAGGGGUUAACUUAACACUCUUUGUCAAAAAUUAUAUUAUGUAUAGAGUAAAGUAAUACUUAUUAUUAAUUAAAAAAAUAUAGUCCACUAGUAAAGAUAUUCAAAAUUUAAACACUCUUAUUAAAUUUUCUGGCGAAAGUUUAUCGUAAAAAAAAAGUACAAAAAAGCUCAUCCUGCACAUGAUACAAUGUAAAAGUUCACCAUAUGAAGACUAGCUAACUUUCACGAUCCACGUAAAUACAACGUCAACAGGAGUGAAGAUAACCAGAAAUCUAGAAGUUUGGAAGAUUAUAGAUGGCCUAGGCAUGUAAAUAAAAGAGAAAAGUAUACUAUAUACCCGAUCCAAAAAAUAAUAGUCGUGAAAUAUUUUUUUUUGUAUAUUAAUGUAUAAUAUAUAUAUAUAUAUUUUAUAAAUAAUUAAUGUAUAUCUUUUUAUAUAUUUAGCUAGCAUAUAUAAUUAUUUUUAGCAGACCGAUCAAAUAUGCGACUUGCCUCAUAUUAAUUGAAGUACUUAAGCAUUUUCUUUUUCAUUUUUUGAAACUCUAGGCAUAUCUAUUAAGCAUCCACUGACCACUAUCAAUGGUUUAGACAAUUAAUUAGUUUUGCAAUAGCUAUAGAAGCCUAGGAACUAGGGUUUUGGCUAGAGAAAACAUUUCUCGAUUCAGUGGACCACCUCUGUAAAAGAAAAAAAGCAAUUCAAAAGGAAUCUUCUAUGGACCCCUUAAAUCUCUAAAACUGAAAAAUUCUGAAUUUGAUCCUUGUGAUAUCUAAUUAACAUAUUAGACUUUAAAUAAUUAAUUAACUUUAAAUAAUUAAUUAAAAUAUACACUUUAAUCCUUCUACUUGUGAAUCUUCACAAAUUUAACGAAUUUGAACUAUUUUUCCAUAUUCUAGAGUAGUGUACUUCUAAAAAUGAUCUAAAUAUAAUAUAUUUCCUAUGUAAAAAAGACAAAACUAUACAGUUUGAUCAAGUAAAGGUUAAUAUAUAUGUGUAGUAUAAUAAUACAAGGACCAAAAUAUAAAAGUUAUCGCUAAUUGAGGGAUCAAAGAUGUAAUUAUUCCUAUAUAUUCCAAAGGCCCCAAUACCAAUAAAUAAAGUGGAACUCAAGUAUCCGCCGAAGGGUAAAGAGAGAAACACGAACGAGAUGACUCCAUUUAAAAUCAAACACAAUUCAACAGAUUCCAAUCACUUCAUAUAGAAAUGAAAUGAUUGAAGACCAGAGCUCCUUUUGUACUUAUUAAAACACAGAAAGACAAGCUUAAUUUACGGGGAUUGGCUCAUCUUUUGGCUCUUCAGACCGCAAUCAGCCAAUCAUCCUUAACUUUCUAAUAUUCUACUAUGCAUUAUUGUACAAAAAGAUACAGCAUGCUUCUUUCAUCUUGGGAUUUCUACAGCUAAUAACAUGCCUAAGGAUUAGGUUAAGGAUUUUCCCACAUGGACCGUGCUACUUAGUCGUCAAUAGUAUAUUAGCAUAGCCAUUAGGAGGAAUCUCAAACAGUAGAAGAGUUUACUGGAUUUAGGAAGUGUGGUACAUCAACGUCUUAUCCAGCCCAGGUAGAAAGAUUGUUAAGCACAGCAGUUAAGAACGAGAAAUUUGAUAUUGCAAGUGAUAUUUUCACCAUUCAAAACAGGGAAAACGUUUACUGGAUGAAGAAAAUUUGCUGACUAAGAACUUUGACAUCCCAAAUGAUAUUCUUCACCAUAAGUCCAUGAUCAAGCACGACUAUAAGUGAUUUGAAUUUUAGGACUAUUAAGCUGAAUUUAGGAGAAUUCCACAACAAGGGCAUUGCCAACAGAACUACUUUCGGGACGCGCUGUCAAUGUUUCAUGUUAUUCCAAGUACAAUUUAGCAAAUUCAUCUAUGAAAAUGAUUUCCAAGUUACAAGCACCAAAUGCAUAUGGCUUUUGGGUGUAAGUUCCUUUCCCAAGCUGAACAAGUGCCUGGGAAACUAGGGGCAAAAGUCUUAACUACAAGCACUGACAUAUCGAUGUUAUCCAAUAAGUUUGGUAUUAUUUGGAAGCGCAACAACCAAUAUCCAUGACUAUCCCCUACAGAUGCUCACGGGGUAAAAUCAAUCUCAGAAAAGCAAAAAAGAGAGUUGCUUGGGUACAGAUCUCAUUGGAUGAUGCUCUUUGCAGCUUUUUCAGGGAGAAUAUUAUCAGGAAGUACAAGCUCGGGAGGUGUUUCACGUACAACACCAAUCAUAGAAUCAUAUUCCUCAUCACGUUUGGCAUACUUCUUACGAAGCAUCUUUUCAAAUUCAAUUUCGUCAAAGGACUUGGAAUUCUCAGCUGCAUGAACACGAGCGAGGUUACAGUAAUUGGUUGCUGACUGGGCAAUAAAGGCUAUCUCUUCAUCAGUUAGCUUCCUCAGAAACUUAGCUGGAUUGCCUGCCCAUACCUGUGUCAUAUAGAAAUUCACAGUUAGAUGGUGAGAGCAGAUGGUAGUCUCCUAAAUCAUAUACACUAUUUGCAGAAGAAGCCAAUCAUAAUGUGGCUUUACACUGAAUGUUGAAUCCAACACAUCACCAUAACUAUUCAGAAUGGAAUAAGGAGAACAAAUGGUAGACUUAUGAAUCAUUGGACAGUCCUAAACCCCCCUUGCACACCAAUCAUAAUACAAAGUUAAGACAUUCGGAUAAAUCCAAUUUAUAGGAAAAUGUGGACCAGUAAAGUAAGCCAAAUAAGUUGGGCAAUUGGCAUGCUAUCAAAGUUCCUAUCUCAUAUUCAAAUUACUUACGACAUUGCAAACAUAUAAGCAACACUGUUGUAUCUGACCUAAUCAGAAUAGCAUAGCAGGCAAAAUCUCAGAAUGGCAUAGAAAGCAGAUUGUGCAAUAAUGCAGGCAAUCAAACAAUUCUUAAGUGUAAUCCACAAAAAGCCGCUUUCCUCAGGGACCAAAUAGGAAGAAAAGCAAACAAUUCAAGCCACUGACUUUUGCUGUGCAGCAGUAAUAAACUAGGAAAUUUGAAGUCCAAGGGCAAGGUCCUAUAUGAUAAUAUCGUAUUGCCAAUUGCAGUAUCUAAUUAAAGACAAGAUCUAAUCAUGUUUUCCAUAUUUUUGCUUCUCUCAUCUAUCUGACAUUGGUGGACAGAGAGCGAAUCCCACAAAAGAAAGAGAAACUCUGUAGUCCAUAUAAGUGAUUUAAAAGGUGAGGUGUUAUUGCUAGCAAGUAGCAGCAGAUGUAGGUGUAUGCCUCAAGGAGUGAGUAGAACACCUUAGUGGAAAUUCAACCACCCAGGGCAUUUUAGCAAUGCCUCUACCAUCUCUUUUAAACAGUGAACUUACUGUAAGGUGAUCACUGGUGAUGAGGGGACAAGCGGAUACCAUACCUCUCCAGAGGGGAUCCUUGUGUUCUGUCUCACAAGGGCUCCUGCAGCAACCAUGGCAUGUUUCUCUACAUGGACACCAUCAAGCAGUGUGGCUCCCAUUCCAAUGAAGGCCUCAUCCUCAAUGGUGCAGCCAUGUACAACAGCAAUAUGACCUACAGAUAGUUUAAGUCACUAUCCAUAAAACCAAGACAACUGAUGCUAAGGUCGACUUGAAUGCUUACCAACAGUGACAUUGUUCCCUAUAAUGGUGGGUAGCACCUUUUGACUUAUAUUUGAUUUGGCCACAUGAACAAGGGAGUUGUCUUGUAUAUUGGUACCAGAUCCAACACUGAUGCUGUUAACGUCACCUGUAAACAGAAAAGGAAUGUAAAAAUUUGAAAACUGACAAUAUAGCAAGCAAAGAAAGAUAAUUUCUUGCCGACUUAUAAUCACUGUACACAAAAUGAUGCUGAAGUUGUUGGGAUUAUCAUUAAGUCUUGGAAAUGAUUAAGAAACACACCUCCAAUCCAACCCACAGACAAUCAUAUUCAUGAUAUUUGAAAGGGAAACAAGGAAGGAGAAGCCCAUAUCAAGAAAUGGUUCAUCUACGAGAAUUUAAAAAUUUUUCCAGCAGGUUGGUUUGGGACGUGAACACCCCUUACACACCUCACUUUUUGCUGAUUGUUUACAUGAUCAGAGAACAUGGAUAUAUCUAACACACUCUACAUAUACGUGUAAGACAGGCUUUUGGGGUCCUUACGUGCAAUUUGAAAUGAAAAUAUAUAACUGCUACUUCAUGCAUUAUUCAUAGUUCCUUUUACUAUCUGAAUUGACUUGUAGAAUUUACAGAAAUAAUAUAUUGGGGGGAAGGGGAAGGAGGAGAAGAGAUGUGCUCCAAAUAAAUAAUUUAUGAUUCCAGCAAAAAGGGCUUUUUACCAAAUUCUAGUGUGCAGGGUUAGAAUUGUUAGAACCAUCUCAGCUUGCAUCUUGGACCAAAGACAAACAAAAAGAAAUACCAGCAGGAUAUAGUCCUUUUUGGGGGGGGAUAAGGAGGGUAUGCUCAUCCACAGAAAAUACUAGGUUCCACUGGUGAUUCUGGAGUGAAACUGUUCAACUUCCAACAAGCCCCUAAUAUAGUUAUGAACAUUGAUUUGUUGAUCAAU